Molecule: ribosomal RNA, 527 nt
Filed under: uncultured bacterium
Lineage: Bacteria
Description: bacterial SSU rRNA
Rfam family: Bacterial small subunit ribosomal RNA
Source: RNAcentral
GAAAUCCGGAUUAAUACCGCAUACGCCCUACGGGGGAAAGGUGGCCUCUUCUUGAAAGCUACCGUUAUCGGAUGAGCCUGCGUCGGAUUAGCUAGUUGGUGGGGUAAAGGCCUACCAAGGCGGCGAUCCGUAGCUGGUCUGAGAGGAUGAUCAGCCACACUGGGACUGAGACACGGCCCAGACUCCUACGGGAGGCAGCAGUGGGGAAUAUUGGACAAUGGGCGCAAGCCUGAUCCAGCCAUGCCGCGUGUGUGAAGAAGGCUUUCGGGUUGUAAAGCACUUUCAGCGGGGAGGAAAGGUUAUUGGUUAAUACCCAAUAGCUGUGACGUUACCCGCAGAAGAAGCACCGGCUAACUCCGUGCCAGCAGCCGCGGUAAUACGGAGGGUGCGAGCGUUAAUCGGAAUUACUGGGCGUAAAGCGUGCGUGGGCGGUGAUUUAAGUGGGAUGUGAAAGCCCCCGGGCUCAACCUGGGAACUGCACCCCAACUGGGUCGCUAGAGUACAGCAAAAGAGUGUGGAAUUUCCUG